RNAcentral lists this ribosomal RNA (279 nucleotides) under uncultured bacterium. Its description in RNAcentral is "partial 16S ribosomal RNA". It matches the Rfam family "Bacterial small subunit ribosomal RNA", at positions 506 to 784 of the family's 1533-position model. The record is from RNAcentral.
UGCCAGCCGCCGCGGUAAUACGUAGGGUCCAAACGUUGUCCGGAUUUACUGGGUGUAAAGGGUGCGCAGGCGGACUGGUUAGUCAGGGGUGAAAUCCCGCAGCUUAACUGCGGAACUGCCUUUGAUACUGCCAGUCUUGAGUACGGGAGAGGUAGAUGGAAUUUCUGGUGUAGCGGUGAAAUGCGUAGAUAUCAGAAAGAACACCAGUGGCGAAGGCGACACCCUGGACCAAUACUGACACUGAGGUGCGAAAGCGUGGGGAGCAAACAGGAUUAGAUA